This 482-nucleotide ribosomal RNA is filed under the name uncultured bacterium. RNAcentral describes it as "bacterial SSU rRNA". It matches the Rfam family "Bacterial small subunit ribosomal RNA", at positions 501 to 986 of the family's 1533-position model. The record is from RNAcentral.
CUACGUGCCAGCAGCCGCGGUAAUACAGAAGGUCCAGGCGUUAUCCGGAUUUAUUGGGUUUAAAGGGAGCGUAGGCGGAUUAUUAAGUCAGUGGUGAAAGACGGUGGCUCAACCAUCGUUAGCCAUUGAAACUGGUAGUCUUGAGUGCAGACAGGGAUGCUGGAACUCGUGGUGUAGCGGUGAAAUGCUUAGAUAUCACGAUGAACUCCAAUCGCGAAGGCAGGUGUCCGGGCUGCAACUGACGCUGAGGCUCGAAAGUGUGGGUAUCAAACAGGAUUAGAUACCCUGGUAGUCCACACAGUAAACGAUGUAUACUCGCGGUUUGCGAUAGACAGUAAGCCGCCAAGCGAAAGCAUUAAGUAUACCACCUGGGGAGUACGCCGGCAACGGUGAAACUCAAAGGAAUUGACGGGGGCCCGCACAAGCGGAGGAACAUGUGGUUUAAUUCGAUGAUACGCGAGGAACCUUACCCGGGCUUGAAC